This 71-nucleotide transfer RNA is filed under the name Phrynosoma platyrhinos (Desert horned lizard). Its description in RNAcentral is "tRNA-OTHER". The record is from RNAcentral. Lineage: Eukaryota; Metazoa; Chordata; Lepidosauria; Squamata; Phrynosomatidae.
GCCAGUGUGGCAUAGCGGUUUGAAUGUUGGACUACAACUCAGGAGACUAGGGUUCGAAUCUCUGCUGUGCA